Molecule: ribosomal RNA, 1620 nt
Filed under: metagenome
Description: bacterial LSU rRNA
Rfam family: Bacterial large subunit ribosomal RNA
Source: RNAcentral
AUUGUCCUCUGCACAAGAGAGAAUGCCGGUAUGAGUAGCGAGAGGCAUGCGAGAAACAUGCCCGUCGAAAGCCCAAGGUUUCCUGGGGAAGGUUCAUCCGCCAGGGUAAGUCGGGGCCUAAGCCGAGGACGGAAGUCGUAGGCGAUGGACAGCAGGUGUAGAUUCCUGCACUACCGAUGGAAUGAAGCAGUGACACAGAAGGAUAACUCGAGCAGGGUGAUGGUCAACCCUGUGCAAGCAUCAAGGUUGGGUUGUAGUGAAGUACGCAACCCUAUAAGCUGAGGUGUGAUGCGGACCGAAAUUUCAGUAGGGAAGCGAGUGAGUUCACGCUGGCGAGAAAAGCUGCUAGUACAUCCAAAGGUACCCGUACCGGAAACCGACGCAGGUGGGCGAGGAGAGAAUCCUGAGACGAACGGGAGAACCCUUGUUAAGGAACUCGGCAAAAUGACCCCGUAACUUCGGGAUAAGGGGUGCCUGCGAGAGCAGGCCGCAGAGAAUAGUCACAAGCGACUGUUUAGCAAAAACACAGGUAUCUGCGAAAGCGAGAGCUGACGUAUAGGUGCUGACACCUGCCCGGUGCUGGAAGGUUAAGGGAACAUGUUAGAGCAAUCGAAGCAUCGAACCGAAGCCCCAGUAAACGGCGGCCGUAACAAUAACGGUCCUAAGGUAGCGAAAUUCCUUGUCGGGUAAGUUCCGACCCGCACGAAUGGUGUAACGACUUGUGAGCUGUCUCAACGGGGGGCCCGGUGAAAUUGAAGUAUGGGUGAAGAUGCCCAUUACCCGCGACUGGACGGAAAGACCCCGUAGAGCUUUACUGCAGCCUGAUAUUGAGUUUCGGUAACUGAUGCACAGGAUAGGUGGGAGUCUGAGAGACAUGGGUUUCGGCUCAUGUGGAGACGGUGUUGGGAUACCACUCUUCGGUUACUGAAAUUCUAACAUAGCUCUGUGAAACCAGAGGAUGGACAGUGUCAGGUGGACAGCUUGACUGGGGCGGUCGCCUCCGAAAGAGUAACGGAGGCGCCCAAAGGUACCCUCAGAAUGGAUGGAAACCAUUCGAAGAGCGCAAAGGCAGAAGGGUGCCUGACUGCGAGAUUGACAAAUCGAGCAGAGACGAAAGUCGGGCUUAGUGAUCCGGCGGUAUUGAGUGGAAAAGCCGUCGCUUAACGGAUAAAAGCUACCUCGGGGAUAACAGGCUGAUCUCCCCCAAGAGUCCACAUCGACGGGGAGGUUUGGCACCUCGAUGUCGGCUCGUCGCAUCCUGGGGCUGAAGCAGGUCCCAAGGGUUUGGCUGUUCGCCAAUUAAAGCGGCACGCGAGCUGGGUUCAGAACGUCGUGAGACAGUUCGGUCCCUAUCCAUCGUGGGCGUAGGAGUCAUGAGAGGAGCUGUUCCUAGUACGAGAGGACCGGAAUGGACGCACCACUGGUGCAACUGUUGUCGUGCCAACGGCAUAGCAGGGAAGCGAAGUGCGGAUGGGAUAAACGCUGAAGGCAUCUAAGCGUGAAGCCCACCUCAAGAAUAAGACUCCACAAUAGACCCCUGGAGGACUACCAGGUAGAUAGGUCAUCGGUGGAAGCGCUGUAAGGCGUGUAGCUUGAUGAUACUAAUCGGUCGAAAGCUAA